RNAcentral lists this ribosomal RNA (460 nucleotides) under uncultured bacterium. RNAcentral describes it as "bacterial SSU rRNA". It matches the Rfam family "Bacterial small subunit ribosomal RNA", at positions 338 to 795 of the family's 1533-position model. The record is from RNAcentral.
CCUACGGGGGGCAGCAGUGAGGAAUAUUGGACAAUGGGCGCAAGCCUGAUCCAGCCAUGCCGCGUGCAGGAUGACGGUCCUAUGGAUUGUAAACUGCUUUUGCACAGGAAGAAACAUCCCGACGUGUCGGGACUUGACGGUACUGUGAGAAUAAGGAUCGGCUAACUCCGUGCCAGCAGCCGCGGUAAUACGGAGGAUCCAAGCGUUAUCCGGAAUCAUUGGGUUUAAAGGGUCCGUAGGCGGUCAUAUAAGUCAGUGGUGAAAGCCCAUCGCUCAACGGUGGAACGGCCAUUGAUACUGUCUGACUUGAAUUAUAAAGAAGUAACUAGAAUAUGUAGUGUAGCGGUGAAAUGCUUAGAUAUUACAUGGAAUACCAAUUGCGAAGGCAGGUUACUAUUUAUGGAUUGACGCUGAUGGACGAAAGCGUGGGUAGCGAACAGGAUUAGAUACCCCGGUAGUC